Molecule: long non-coding RNA, 627 nt
Filed under: Vulpes vulpes (red fox)
Lineage: Eukaryota; Metazoa; Chordata; Mammalia; Carnivora; Canidae
Description: lncRNA (ENSVVUG00000002902.1)
Source: RNAcentral
AUGGAGGAGAAAGCCACUGUGUCUCUUGGGACUGGAAAACUAAGAAGCAGCAGUGAGAACUCUGAAAAUGCCAAAGAAUUAUUGAAGCUAUUCCAGUGGAGGCAUUCAGUCAUUCUAUACCAGUGGCACAUACGUCAUUUUCACCUGAUGGGACUUUUCCUUAGGAAACCAGUGUGCUUAAUUCCAGAAAGCAAAUCCUGCCAUGAUUGUGCCACUGUUUUUGCUCAGAGUUGUAAGAUUGGUCUGGUUGAAAAUUUUAAGUUCAGACCUUGGAUGCAUCGUGGCAAACAAAUAAUUUGGAGAAAAAAUACUCAACUUGCAAUCUUUGCUCUGUACUCUUCCCAAUGACUGGUUUCUGAACUCAGAAUAUGUCUAAAUACUGCCGAAGGUAGGACUGGAAAUAUAAAAAUAGGUUCAGUCUGAGUGUUGUCGACAUGCACACAAAAGACGAUGAUAACUAUGAGGUGAUGGAUAUAUUAAUUAGCUUGAUUGUAGUAAUUAUUUCACAAUGUAUAUAAAGUUAUCAGGUUAUAUGUUUUAAAUAUAUACAAUGUUUAAUCAUCAGUUAUACCUCAGGAAAGCUAAAGAGGAAAUAACAAACUAAUAAAUGUGUUCACCUAUGUGACA